Molecule: ribosomal RNA, 707 nt
Filed under: uncultured bacterium
Lineage: Bacteria
Description: bacterial SSU rRNA
Rfam family: Bacterial small subunit ribosomal RNA
Source: RNAcentral
CAGUCGAACGAAAAGACGGAAAGAGCUUGCUCUUUCCGGAAUUGAGUGGCCCACGGGUGAGUAACACGUAAACAACCUGCCUUCAGGAUGGGGACAACAGACGGAAACGACUGCUAAUACCGAAUAAGUUCCAAGAGCCGCAUGGCCCAUGGAAGAAAAGGUGGCCUCUACCUGUAAGCUAUCGCCUGAAGAGGGGUUUGCGUCUGAUUAGCUGGUUGGAGGGGUAACGGCCCACCAAGGCGACGAUCAGUAGCCGGUCUGAGAGGAUGAACGGCCACACUGGAACUGAGACACGGUCCAGACUCCUACGGGAGGCAGCAGUGGGGAAUCUUCCGCAAUGGGCGAAAGCCUGACGGAGCAACGCCGCGUGAGUGAUGACGGCCUUCGGGUUGUAAAACUCUGUGAUCCGGGACGAAAAGGCAGAGUGCGAAGAACAAACUGCAUUGACGGUACCGGAAAAGCAAGCCACGGCUAACUACGUGCCAGCAGCCGCGGUAAUACGUAGGUGGCAAGCGUUGUCCGGAAUUAUUGGGCGUAAAGCGCGCGCAGGCGGCUUCCCAAGUCCCUCUUAAAAGUGCGGGGCUUAACCCCGUGAUGGGAAGGAAACUGGGAAGCUGGAGUAUCGGAGAGGAAAGUGGAAUUCCUAGUGUAGCGGUGAAAUGCGUAGAGAUUAGGAAGAACACCGGUGGCGAAGGCGACUUUCUGGA